RNAcentral lists this ribosomal RNA (564 nucleotides) under uncultured bacterium. Its description in RNAcentral is "partial 16S ribosomal RNA". It matches the Rfam family "Bacterial small subunit ribosomal RNA", at positions 355 to 1376 of the family's 1533-position model. The record is from RNAcentral.
UGGGGAAUAUUGGACAAUGGGCGCAAGCCUGAUCCAGCCAUGCCGCGUGAGUGAUGAAGGCCCUAGGGUUGUAAAGCUCUUUCACCGGUGAAGAUAAUGACGGUAACCGGAGAAGAAGCCCCGGCUAACUUCGUGCCAGCAGCCGCGGUAAUACGAAGGGGGCUAGCGUUGUUCGGAAUUACUGGGCGUAAAGCGCACGUAGGCGGACAUUUAAGUCAGGGGUGAAAUCCCCGGGGCUCAACCCCGGAACUGCCUUUGAUACUGGGGUGUCUAGAGUUCGAGAGAGGUGAGUGGAAUUCCGAGUGUAGAGGUGAAAUUCGUAGAUAUUCGGAGGAACACCAGUGGCGAAGGCGGCUCACUGGCUCGAUACUGACGCUGAGGUGCGAAAGCGUGGGGAGCAAAACAGGAUUAGAUACCCUGGUAGUCCACGCCGUAAACGAUGGAAGCCAGCUGUCGGCAAGUUUACUUGUCGGUGGCGCAGCUAACGCAUUAAGCUUCCCGCCUGGGGAGUACGGUCGCAAGAUUAAAACUCAAAUGAAUUGACGGGGUCAUAGCUGUUUCCUG